This 424-nucleotide ribosomal RNA is filed under the name uncultured bacterium. RNAcentral's name for it is "bacterial SSU rRNA". It matches the Rfam family "Bacterial small subunit ribosomal RNA", at positions 355 to 796 of the family's 1533-position model. The record is from RNAcentral.
UGGGGAAUAUUGGACAAUGGGGGCAACCCUGAUCCAGCCAUGCCGCGUGAGUGAUGAAGGCCCUAGGGUUGUAAAGCUCUUUCGCAGGGGACGAUAAUGACGGUACCCUGAUAAGAAGCCCCGGCUAACUUCGUGCCAGCAGCCGCGGUAAUACGAAGGGGGCUAGCGUUGUUCGGAUUUACUGGGCGUAAAGGGCGCGUAGGCGGAUUUUUAAGUCAGGGGUGAAAUCCCGAGGCUCAACCUCGGAAUUGCCUCUGAUACUGGAAAUCUUGAGAUUGGAAGAGGUGAGUGGAAUUGUGAGUGUAGAGGUGAAAUUCGUAGAUAUUCACAAGAACACCGGUGGCGAAGGCGGCUCACUGGUCCAAUACUGACGCUGAGGCGCGAAAGCGUGGGGAGCAAACAGGAUUAGAUACCCCCGUAGUCC